This is a long non-coding RNA of Anser brachyrhynchus (Pink-footed goose), 1703 nucleotides long. The record is from Ensembl. Lineage: Eukaryota; Metazoa; Chordata; Aves; Anseriformes; Anatidae.
CCCAGACCCUACCCUUUAAGAAACUUUUUGAGAGAGAAUACAAGUUGUAAGCCCUGCAAGGAAGAAUAAUUGUCUCUUAUGGGAUGGGAGAAUCUUAUACAGGUUGCAAAAUCUUUGGCACUGAAAUAGCUCCUGUAAUGUAAAAUUCCCAGCAAAGACCAUUUUUAUUAUUCUACUGUAGUCACUUGAAGCCAAGCCUAUGUGUUGUCCUGUCGCUGUCCCCAGAGAGCAGAGCUCAGCGCCUGCCCCUCCGCUCCCCUCGUGAGGGAGCUGCAGGCCGCCAUGAGGCCUCCCCUCAGCCUGCUCUGCUCUGGGCUGAACAAACCAAGGGACCUCAGCUGCUCCUCAUACAUCUUGCCCUCUAGACCCUUCACCUUCUUUAUAGCCCUCCUUUGGACACUCUAACAGUUUUAUGUCCUUCUUAUAUUGUGGCACUCAAAACUGCACACAGUGCUAGAGGUGAGGCCACACCAGCGCAGAGCGGGACAACUCCUUCCCUCAAUCAGCUACCAAUACUGUGCUUAAGUUAGGAAAGAAAAAAAAAUAUGCAAAUGUAUACUUAAUCACUGUUGGUAGCUAUUUCCUCUUGGAGCAUUCAUAUUAGGAAGAGCAAUUAACUCACGGCCUUGUGUUGUCAUGUGUACACGGGGGAGCGCAAGCCAUUUGGUUUCAGCAGCCCGCAGAGGACAGAAGCGCUUCUGCCCCUCCUGGAUGGUGGAAAAGAGCAAGCCCCAAGCCAGCCUCCUGCUGCUGGACCAAAUUCAGGGCAGCUUCAUGCCUCGGGGUGGCCUGGCCCUGUCUAGGGAGGGGACCAGCGUGGCACUGAGCAGCUGCGUCCCCACAGAGGGUCACCCAGGAAGCAUCGCACUGCUCAGUGUUACACGUCUGAUUUGUCCACCUGCUCCCCCUGCACGGUCUCGGAGGCUGAAGGAGAGGUAGGGACCCUGCUGGGGACCCAGCAGGAAUACUCAGUUUGCAACAAGUACCUAAAGAUAUGAGGUGAGGAGCAGAGGUGCUGGGCGAGAAGCUUGACAGUCUGAAGCUCUUCCCUGGAAAGUCUCAUUUCCAUGUCUAUCUGGACUUACUCAAUCGACCAAAUUUACUUCUUGUAGCACCAGUACCAGAAAUAGCCUGGACACUGAAAUGACGAGCUGGCAUCUCUCACACAGAAAAGCAAGCCAAACAGUUGGUAAUGCCAUUAUAACCAUUUUUUCUGACCCUCGCUGGCCUCUUGGCACUGCCUUCAUAAACUUAUGUCACGGCUUCAGCUCGGUCACCAAUGAUCUCAUUCUCUCAGGCAUCUGUCUGAACUACCAGAAGCUACAAAAAUAUCGAAGACAAAUUGCCUUUGGCAGGUAUCUUGUGGUUUCAAGUCAAGAUAAUCAGUGGUUAGGAACCUUGAUGCAAUUUGCGACAGGCUACUUUAAAGGCAUAAUCAUUUAGUUGAUGUAAUUAGCAAGAUUUCAGAAACUAGCACUGAAUGCAGCAAGAGGAAGUAAAAAUGGAUGACCAGGUUGGUGUGUUGUCUCCCAGAGACGCGGAAAAGGGAAAAUUGGCUUUCCCAGCAGACUGGCCAAAUCCCCCAUCUGUUACAACAAGUUUCAAGCUACUGCUUCACCUCCCCACUCCAGAGCCUUCAACUGAGAGUUCAGAGCUCAUUGCAUAUUUUCCUGUUUUUGCCUCAUUUUUUAGAACUCUUUCUC